GACGGAGGGUGCUAGCGUUGUUCGGAAUUACUGGGCGUAAAGCGUGCGCAGGCGGCGCGUUAAGACAGGUGUGAAAGCCCCGAGCUUAACUUGGGAAUUGCGCUUGUGACUGGCGUGCUGGAGUGUGGCAGAGGGAGGUGGAAUUCCACGUGUAGCAGUGAAAUGCGUAGAGAUGUGGAGGAACACCGAUGGCGAAGGCAGCCUCCUGGGCCAGCACUGACGCUCAUGCACGAAAGCGUGGGGAGCAAACAGG
This 253-nucleotide ribosomal RNA is filed under the name uncultured bacterium. RNAcentral's name for it is "partial 16S ribosomal RNA". It matches the Rfam family "Bacterial small subunit ribosomal RNA", at positions 524 to 776 of the family's 1533-position model. The record is from RNAcentral.